This 332-nucleotide ribosomal RNA is filed under the name uncultured bacterium. Its description in RNAcentral is "bacterial SSU rRNA". It matches the Rfam family "Bacterial small subunit ribosomal RNA", at positions 568 to 898 of the family's 1533-position model. The record is from RNAcentral.
UGCGCAGGCGGUUUUGUAAGACAGAUGUGAAAUCCCCGGGCUUAACCUGGGAACUGCGUUUGUGACUGCAAGACUUGAGUGCGGCAGAGGGGGGUGGAAUUCCACGUGUAGCAGUGAAAUGCGUAGAGAUGUGGAGGAACACCGAUGGCGAAGGCAGCCCCCUGGGUCGACACUGACGCUCAUGCACGAAAGCGUGGGUAGCAAACAGGAUUAGAUACCCUGGUAGUCCACGCCCUAAACGAUGCGAACUAGGUGUUGGGGAAGGAGACUUCCUUAGUACCGCAGCUAACGCGUGAAGUUCGCCGCCUGGGGAGUACGGUCGCAAGAUUAAA